UUAAGUAAGGAAGGGCGUACGGCGAAUGCCUGGCCACUCGAAACUGAAGAAGGACGCGCCAAACUGCGAAAAGCUCCGUGAAGCUGUAAGGAAGCGAAGAAGCGGAGGUGUCCGAAUGGGGGAACCCGGCAGCAGACAUGAGCUGUCAUCUGCAGGUGAAUACAUGGCCUGCAAGAGAGGUACCCGGCGAACUGAAACAUCUAAGUAGCCGGAGGAAAAGAAAACAACAGUGAUUCCCUGAGUAGCGGCGAGCGAAAGGGGAGAAGCCCAAACCGGUUGAAGGACCGGGGUUGAAGGACCAUGACAUGGCAAGAACGAGGAUAGGAGAACGGGAUCGAAAGCCCGGCCGAAGAAGGUGAAAGCCCUGUAACCGAAAUCCGAGUAAAGCCUAAUGGGAUCCUGAGUACGGCGAGACACGAGAAAUCUUGUCGGAAGCAGGCGGGACCAUCCGCCAAGGCUAAAUAUAAACGAGUGAGCGAUAGUGAACCAGUACCGUGAGGGAAAGGUGAAAAGAACCGCGGGAGCGGAGUGAAAGAGAACCUGAAACCGUAUGCCUACAAGAAGUCAGAGCCCGUUAAGGGGUGAUGGCGUGCCUUUUGUAGAAUGAACCGGCGAGUUGCGACAGACUGCGAGGUUAAGGAGGAAAGACCGGAGCCGAAGCGAAAGCGAGUCUUAAGAGGGCGAAAGUAGGAUGUUGCAGACCCGAAACCGGGUGAUCUAGCCAUGAGCAGGUUGAAGUUGAGGUGAAACUCAAUGGAGGACCGAACCGACUACCGUUGAAAAGUUAGCGGAUGACUUGUGGCUAGGGGAGAAAUUCCAAUCGAACCCGGAGAUAGCUGGUUCUCCCCGAAAUAGCUUUAGGGCUAGCGUCGGAAAGAACCUUAGUGAAGGUAGAGCACUGAAUGUGUGAUGGCCCCAUCCCGGGGUACUGAAUACAAUCAAACUGCGAAUGUCAUUAAGGAUGUCCGGCAGUCAGACUGUGAGUGAUAAGGUCCAUGGUCAAGAGGGAAACAGCCCAGACCGCCAGUUAAGGUCCCAAAAUACAGGCUAAGUGGAAAAGGAUGUGGGGAUGCCCAGACAACUAGGAGGUUGGCUCAGAAGCAGCCAUCCUUUAAAGAGUGCGUAACAGCUCACUAGUCGAGUGACCCUGCGCCGAAAAUGUACCGGGGCUAAGCCUGAUACCGAAACUGCGGAUUGUAGGAAACUAUAGUGGUAGGGGAGCGUUGUAUACGAGCAGAAGCCGUACCGUGAGGAGCGGUGGAUUGUAUAGAAGUGAGAAUGCCGGUGUGAGUAGCGAGAUGUAGGUGAGAAUCCUACACACCGAAAGCCCAAGGAUUCCAGGGGAAGGUUCGUCCGCCCUGGGUAAGUCGGGACCUAACGCGAGGCCGAAAGGCGUAGUGGAUGGAAAGCAGGCGAAAGAUUCCUGCACCCGUAUAUGGAGCGAAGGAGUGACGGAGACGGAUAGUGUGACCCUCUUAAUGGAUUGAGGGCGAAGCGAAGCGGCUGGUUACCAGGCAAAUCCGGUAACCAUAAGGCUAGAGCGUGACAGGUAAGCGAAAUCUUAGGAAAGUAGCGAAGCACAUGAUGACGGCUUCCAGGAAAAGCUUCUGGCAAUGCAUAUGCGGCCCGUACCAAAACCGACACAGGUGGGCAGGGAGAGAAUCCCGAGGUGAGCGAGAGAACUGUUGCCAAGGAACUCGGCAAAAUGACUCCGUAAGUUAGCGAGAAGGAGUGCUUAAGCAAUUAAGCCGCAGUGAAGAGGCCCAAGCGACUGUUUAACUAAAACACAGCUCUCUGCGAAGUCGCAAGACGAAGUAUAGGGGGUGACACCUGCCCGGUGCUGGAAGGUUAAGAGGAUCUGUUAAGAGCGAUCUGAAGCAGUGAUCCGAAGCCCCAGUGAACGGCGGCCGUAACUAUAACGGUCCUAAGGUAGCGAAAUUCCUUGUCAGGUAAGUUCUGACCCGCACGAAAGGUGUAACGAUUUGGGCGCUGUCUCGGCAGCAGACUCGGUGAAAUCUUAGUACCUGUGAAAAUGCAGGUUACCCGCAACUAGACGGAAAGACCCCAUGGAGCUUUACUGCAGCCUGAUAUUGAAUUCUGGUCAUACAUGUACAGGAUAGGUGGGAGACAAAGAGACGUGCACGCCAGUGUACGAGGAGUCGACGUUGGGAUACCACUCUUGUGUGACCGGGGUUCUAACCUGGUAUCGAGAACAGGUACGGGGAGAGUGUCAGGUGGGCAGUUUGACUGGGGCGGUCGCCUCCCAAAGAGUAACGGAGGCGCCCAAAGGUACGCUCAGAUUGGAUGGAAACCAAUCGUCGAGUGCAAUUGCAGAAGCGUGCUUGACUGUGAGACUUACAAGUCGAACAGGGACGAAAGUCGGGAAUAGUGAUCCGGCGGUGCCGAAUGGAAGGGCCGUCGCUCAACGGAUAAAAGCUACCCUGGGGAUAACAGGCUGAUCUCGCCCAAGAGUUCACAUCGACGGCGAGGUUUGGCACCUCGAUGUCGGCUCAUCGCAUCCUGGAGCUGGAUUCGGUUCCAAGGGUUGGGCUGUCCGCCCAUUAAAGCGGUACGCGAGCUGGGUUCAGAACGUCGUGAGACAGUUCGGUCC
Molecule: ribosomal RNA, 2611 nt
Filed under: human gut metagenome
Description: bacterial LSU rRNA
Rfam family: Bacterial large subunit ribosomal RNA
Source: RNAcentral